RNAcentral lists this transfer RNA (76 nucleotides) under Azoarcus sp. Its description in RNAcentral is "tRNA-Asp". It matches the Rfam family "tRNA". From Rfam's summary of the family: Transfer RNA (tRNA) molecules are approximately 80 nucleotides in length. Their secondary structure includes four short double-helical elements and three loops (D, anti-codon, and T loops). Further hydrogen bonds mediate the characteristic L-shaped molecular structure. tRNAs have two regions of fundamental functional importance: the anti-codon, which is responsible for specific mRNA codon recognition, and the 3' end, to which the tRNAs corresponding amino acid is attached (by aminoacyl-tRNA synthetases). tRNAs cope with the degeneracy of the genetic code in two manners: having more than one tRNA (with a specific anti-codon) for a particular amino acid; and 'wobble' base-pairing, i.e. permitting non-standard base-pairing at the 3rd anti-codon position. Lineage: Bacteria; Pseudomonadati; Pseudomonadota; Betaproteobacteria; Rhodocyclales; Zoogloeaceae. The record is from RNAcentral.
GCCUCGUUAACUCAGCGGCCAGAGUGCCCGCCUGUCUAGCGGGAAGUCAGGGGUUCAAAUCCCCUACGGGGCGCCA